GCCUAAGAUUCGAGGUGGGUUGGGUUUCUCUUUCUUGUAGGAUUAUUUUAUAUAGAUAGGAGCCUGUUCUCAGGGAAAUGUGUGGAAUAAUAGGUGCAAAGCCCUAAAAACAAAAGGCAGCUUGGGAUUGAAUUUGAAAAUAUCAAGAAGGAAAAAAAAUGCCAAGAUUUUAGUAAAUGUUUGGUUUGAAUAUGGAAAAGUGAAGUUGAAAUGGUGAGACUGGAUGUAUCUUUUGAUCUUGAACGAAUAAUCAGAAACUUGAACAGAAGAUGCAUAAAAACUGGAGAGUAAUAGUAAAUGUUGAAGAACAAAGUCUAAGUAAAGAUU
This 327-nucleotide unclassified non-coding RNA is filed under the name Hevea brasiliensis (rubber tree). The record is from RNAcentral. Lineage: Eukaryota; Viridiplantae; Streptophyta; Magnoliopsida; Malpighiales; Euphorbiaceae.